Quercus lobata is the source of this 1345-nucleotide long non-coding RNA. RefSeq lists it as uncharacterized. NCBI's taxonomy places the organism in Eukaryota, Viridiplantae, Streptophyta, Magnoliopsida, Fagales, Fagaceae. The record is from RefSeq and is a predicted model, not a curated record. The transcript has 8 exons.
AAUUUCAAAAAGAUAUUUUAAAAAACAAAAGAAUAUGCUAUACGAUAGCCUGAAGCUAAAAAUCACGCUCUCUCUCAACUCUCAAUCUCUUCCCUCAAAAAAAAAAAAAAAAAAAAAAAAAAAAAAAAAAAUUCUCGUCUCUCAUGUAUCACAAGCUCUCUCUCUCUCUGAUAUCAUUUUCCCCCAAAUACAAAUCUAAGCUCGACAAUCGUGGAAAUCACAUAGCAUUCAAUCUCAAGUUCGUGAUUUCUUCGUCUGUGUCUCUUUGUCUCUCUCAAUCUAAGCUCGGUGUUCUCUUCGUGACUUUGUCUCUGUCGGUCACGAUGUGUUUUCUUCGUCUCUCAAUCGCAUUGAUAAGAAUUGAAAACUCAAAAAAUCGAAGGUCUCCUCUCAUCUCGACUCCAACACCGCUGAUUCCCCUAGUUUGAAAAACAAAAGAAGGGUAAAAGAGCAAAAAUCGUGUUCAAAUUCAACCGCUAGUCCACGUUUUGAAUAGAGAAUUAUUUCAAGAUUUGGCUCCAUUGUUGUGGAAUUCUUUUGGUACUAUUGUUGCACUGUUACAGCUUGCCAAUUUGGAAGUUUGGUUUCAGCGGCCAAAAGACAUUGUUCCGAAAUUGGUAUCUGGAGUCCUUGUUUUCUUAUCAAGGAUUGGUAUGAGGAAGUGCAUUACCAUUAAAAGUUCAUCAUUUUUGUUCCUGCUGUCAGGGGAAUGAAAAUCUUAUUCUUGUUCGUGAUGCUCUUGAGUAUGGGGACUGCUGAAAAGACUCUGCGAGUCGCUACUGGAUUUACCUACGAAUGAUCUGUGUUUCAUUUUAUUAUAUUAUGAAAAUUUCAGUUUAUUUUUCUCAUUUUUGUAACAUUCAGUUUUGGCCCUAUCCUUCUGCACAGCUAGAUCCUAAAUUUAUGAAAGAAAAUGGACUAAAGUAUGUGACUUUUUCAACUGCUGAUGGAGCACUGGAGGCAGCUCCUGCGAAUAAUGGUUGAUGAGAUCAUCGGUUGGCAGGUUUCCAAAUGCACUUGGGGUUUUAUGUAUCCAAUUUAUGGUCACGGGGAACUACCACAGGCUUUUUGCCGUCGUGCUGCUGUCAAAGGUUGCAUUCAUUUCUUAAUGCAAGGGAAAUUUGGUGGCUAUGCAUGAGUCUUUGAGAAGUACCAGGAAAAGGCAGAGUCCAUUAUAUGAGACCCUUUAGACAUUAGUACAUCAGAUAAAAUACUAAGUUCCUUUAUGUUAAUAUGAAGAUGUCUACAUAAACUUCAAGAAUGUAGAAUUUAGUAACUUGGAGGGUCAUGUAGGCCGUUGAAAUUUUGGUUUCAAGGGUUACGAAGUCCGUAGAAAUUUCAACUU